CUUUUUUGAUGGGUGACCUCUUGGGCCAUUGUGUCUGGGUCAUAGAAGCCCUAUAAUGGAACUCUCAAGGG
Molecule: small nucleolar RNA, 71 nt
Organism: Bos indicus x Bos taurus (hybrid cattle)
Lineage: Eukaryota; Metazoa; Chordata; Mammalia; Artiodactyla; Bovidae
Source: Ensembl